RNAcentral lists this ribosomal RNA (694 nucleotides) under uncultured bacterium. RNAcentral's name for it is "bacterial SSU rRNA". It matches the Rfam family "Bacterial small subunit ribosomal RNA", at positions 63 to 768 of the family's 1533-position model. The record is from RNAcentral.
CGAACGGGAAUAGGAUGAAACCUAGUGAUUCCUAUUCCAGUGGCGGACGGGUGAGUAACGCGUGGGUAACCUGCCUUGCACUGGGGGAUAACACUUAGAAAUAGGUGCUAAUACCGCAUAAGCGCACAGAACCGCAUGGUUCGGUGUGAAAAACUCCGGUGGUUUAAGAUGACCCCGCGUCUGAUUAGCUGGUUGGUGAGGUAACGGCUCACCAAGGCGACGAUCAGUAGCCGGCCUGAGAGGGUGAACGGCCACAUUGGGACUGAGACACGGCCCAAACUCCUACGGGAGGCAGCAGUGGGGAAUAUUGCACAAUGGGGGAAACCCUGAUGCAGCAACGCCGCGUGAGUGAAGAAGUCAUUCGUGAUGUAAAGCUCUAUCAGCAGGGAAGAAAAUGACGGUACCUGACUAAGAAGCCCCGGCUAACUACGUGCCAGCAGCCGCGGUAAUACGUAGGGGGCAAGCGUUAUCCGGAUUUACUGGGUGUAAAGGGAGCGUAGACGGCGACGCAAGUCUGAAGUGAAAUGCCAGUGCUCAACACUGGAACUGCUUUGGAAACUGUGUGGCUAGAGUGCAGGAGAGGUAAGUGGAAUUCCUAGUGUAGCGGUGAAAUGCGUAGAUAUUAGGGGGAACACCAGUGGCGAAGGCGGCUUACUGGACUGUAACUGACGUUGAGGCUCGAAGGCGUGGGGAG